AGGUUCCCCCAAGGACCCUGGACCAGCACUCAGAUGAACUAACCUACUUCUGUAAGAAGAAAAUUUUCCACCGACUCCUUCAAGUUUCCAUUGUGGUGGGAAGGAUACAACAGGCAUCUGGCAGAGCAGCACAGCCCAGGAGCCAGCAAGCCUGCAGAAAGACAGCCUCAAUCAUGACAAGGGACAUGCUGGCUCACACAGGACAUGCCCAUGCUUAUCUGCCAGGUUAGCAGAGCUGAACAGACCGACCAAGCCAGUACUACAAAGCCUGAGGGGAAUGCACAUGGGCCUGCAGCUGGCGUGGGCAUGUCCCCACCAGCACUGUGGAAAUGUCCAGAGCUUUGGAGCUGAAGAGAAGCUCUUUGAAAUGAGUCCUGCCUUCCAAGGUGACAGACUUCUCAGAACACCCCUUCUCCAGGUUGACAGCCAAGGGCAAGUCUUGUCCUUGACUCUUAUCAACAUGUACAGGGGGCUCAUGGUAGUGUUAUAAUGGCAAAAAUCAGAAGCAGCCUAAAGGCCAGCUGCAGAGAAAUGGCUAAGCAGUGGCACUGUCAUGGACCUUAUUGCUCUGUAAGCCCCCAAAAUAUAAAAGAUGAUGUACGCCUUUGCUCAUAUUUUUAAAUUUAUUGUGGUAAAUUACACAAAACAUAAAAGUCACUGAACCAUUUUUCAGAGGACAGUUCAGUGGCAUUUGCAUGUGCUCUGUUGUGUCACCAGCACUACCUCCAUCUCCAGAACUCUCCAUCUUGCACCACCGAAACUACCAGUGGAGUGUGGUUCCCCAUUCCCCUCCCACCCACCCUUCUGCUUUCUGUUUCUGUGACCUUGACUGCAUGGGCACCUCUUGUGUCUUCUGGCUGGCUGAUUUCACUCAGCACAAUGUCCUCAAGGCUGUUCUACUUUCUUUGUAGCAUCUGUCAGUUUCCUGCCUCUUAAGGCUGAGUCAUGUCCCACUGUGUGUAGAGGCCACAUCUUGCUUAUCCACUCAUCUGUUAAUGGACACUUGGACUGUGCCCUCAGUUUAUCUGUUGUGAAUAAUAUUACUACAAGAUGGGUACACUUCUUUGUGAUGACCUGCACAGCCAAACCCUAAAAACCAGCAAGGGACAAUGAGGAAUUAAGAAAGACACACAAACACAGAGACAAAUCUGGGACCCAGUGGGAUACCCACCUCAGAUGAAGGAGCAGUGGCCCAGAACUAGCUCAGCACUUUUGUUAUAUAUAGGAUCUCACAAUCAAGAAGUUAGAGCACAUUGUUGUUUGUUCACUAAAAAGUUACAGAACUAGAAACAUUUUUUGUAGCUAUUCUACUGUUGCAGUGCUGGGAACAUCCUGUUAUUACCCUGCUGAGCCCAAAACGCA
This 1362-nucleotide long non-coding RNA is filed under the name Marmota marmota marmota (Alpine marmot). RNAcentral's name for it is "lncRNA (ENSMMMG00000009414.1)". The record is from RNAcentral. Lineage: Eukaryota; Metazoa; Chordata; Mammalia; Rodentia; Sciuridae.